GACGAACGCUGGCGGCGUGCUUAACACAUGCAAGUCGAACGGAAAGGCCCUGCUUUUGUGGGGUGCUCGAGUGGCGAACGGGUGAGUAACACGUGAGUAACCUGCCCUUGACUUUGGGAUAACUUCAGGAAACUGGGGCUAAUACCGGAUAGGAGCUCCUGCUGCAUGGUGGGGGUUGGAAAGUUUCGGCGGUUGGGGAUGGACUCGCGGCUUAUCAGCUUGUUGGUGGGGUAGUGGCUUACCAAGGCUUUGACGGGUAGCCGGCCUGAGAGGGUGACCGGCCACCUUGGGACUGAGAUACGGCCCCGACUCCUACGGGAGGCAGCAGUGGGGAAUAUUGCACCAUGGGCGGAAGCCUGAUGCAGCAACGCCGCGUGCGGGAUGACGGCCUUCGGGUUGUAAACCGCUUUCGCCUGUGACGAAGCGUGAGUGACGGUAAUGGGAAAAGAAGCACCGGCUAACUACGUG
RNAcentral lists this ribosomal RNA (468 nucleotides) under uncultured bacterium. Its description in RNAcentral is "partial 16S ribosomal RNA". It matches the Rfam family "Bacterial small subunit ribosomal RNA", at positions 28 to 507 of the family's 1533-position model. The record is from RNAcentral.